CAGCAGCCGCGGUAAUACGUAGGUGGCAAGCGUUGUCCGGAAUUAUUGGGCGUAAAGGGCUCGCAGGCGGUUUCUUAAGUCUGAUGUGAAAGCCCCCGGCUCAACCGGGGAGGGUCAUUGGAAACUGGGAAACUUGAGCGCAGAAGAGGAGAGUGGAAUUCCACGUGUAGCGGUGAAGUGCGUAGAGAUGUGGAGGAACACCAGUGGCGAAGGCGACUCUCUGGUCUGUAACUGACGCUGAGGAGCGAAAGCGUGGGGAGCGAACAGGAUUAGAUACCCCCGUAGUCCCUGUCUCUUAUAC
RNAcentral lists this ribosomal RNA (301 nucleotides) under uncultured bacterium. RNAcentral's name for it is "partial 16S ribosomal RNA". It matches the Rfam family "Bacterial small subunit ribosomal RNA", at positions 509 to 807 of the family's 1533-position model. The record is from RNAcentral.